RNAcentral lists this ribosomal RNA (491 nucleotides) under uncultured bacterium. RNAcentral's name for it is "partial 16S ribosomal RNA". It matches the Rfam family "Bacterial small subunit ribosomal RNA", at positions 28 to 507 of the family's 1533-position model. The record is from RNAcentral.
GAUGAACGCUAGCGAUAGGCUUAACACAUGCAAGUCGAGGGGUAACGUGUUGGAAGCUUGCUUCCGAUGACGACGACCGGCGGAUGGGUGCGUAACGCGUAUGCAACUUGCCUCACAGUGGAGAAUAACCCGGAGAAAUCCGGACUAAUACUCCAUACACUCUUAAGUACGCCUGUACAUGAGAGGAAAGAUUUAUCGCUGUGAGAUAGGCAUGCGUCCUAUUAGGUAGUUGGUGAGGUAACGGCUCACCAAGCCGACGAUAGGUAGGGGUGCUGAGAGGCAGAUCCCCCACAUUGGGACUGAGACACGGCCCAAACUCCUACGGGAGGCAGCAGUGAGGAAUAUUGGUCAAUGGAGGAAACUCUGAACCAGCCAAGUCGCGUGAAGGAAGAAUGUCCUGAGGAUUGUAAACUUCUUUAGCGAGCGAGUAAGGACUUCCACGUGAUGGGAGUUUGAAAGUAGCUCGAGAAUAAGUAUCGGCUAACUCCGUG